RNAcentral lists this ribosomal RNA (253 nucleotides) under uncultured bacterium. Its description in RNAcentral is "partial 16S ribosomal RNA". It matches the Rfam family "Bacterial small subunit ribosomal RNA", at positions 524 to 776 of the family's 1533-position model. The record is from RNAcentral.
UACGAAGGACCCGAGCGUUAUCCGGAUUUAUUGGGUUUAAAGGGUGCGUAGGCGGAUUAGCAAGUCAGUGGUGAAAGCCCAUCGCUUAACGGUGGAAUUGCCAUUGAUACUGCUAGUCUUGAGUAUGGUUGAGGUGGGCGGAAUGUGUCAUGUAGCGGUGAAAUGCUUAGAUAUGACCCAGAACACCAAUUGCGAAGGCAGCUCGCUAAACCAUAACUGACGCUGAUGCACGAAAGCGUGGGGAGCAAACAGG